AAUGUCGAAAGCUUCGUCCAGAAUGCUUUGCUAGGGAAGAUGAAUGAACCUAUUAAACCAAACAUUACUCUCCUCCUCUUCUUUUAUGAUUGCUUUGUUGUGCACUCUCUCUCUCUCUCUCUCUCUCUCUCCUUUACUAGAGAAGCUUACGUUCCCAGCGGAGGAGGGGUUCUUGCUCGUAUUAGAGUCCAUCCUUGCUGCUCCUCUUAUUCUCUGCGUCAGAAGAGCCUAAGAGGAUGUAUGAUAUCAAUGUUCGAAGUUCAAGUUCAACGUCAAACCAGCAGAUAACGGAGUUUUGAUCGCGUAAAGGGCUCGGGAUUCAGAAAUCAUAUUCUACUACCUUUUUGGUCGUAAGUAGCCUUAAACCGAAAUUCUGACCGGAGUGACGAACGGUGUCAUCUGAUACUCUCUCCACCUUCCUCCUCUCCUUCUCCUUCGUCAUCCAUUUUUGUUUUCUUGUAGAACAAAUCGCCAAUCCUUAAGGUCGUGCGAAAUGGAGCUAAAACCAGGAUUAUCAGCUUUGGUCACAGGCGGAGGUUCUGGAAUCGGUAAAGCACUUUGCCUGGCUCUUGGGAAGAAAGGCAUUUUUGUGACUGUUGUUGAUUUAUUUGAAGAAAAGGGAAAGGAAGUUGUUUCCCUUGUUGAGCAGGAGAAUGCCAAAUUCCACUCCAAAUUAAAAUUUCCUUCAUCAAUUUUUAUUCGGUGUGAUGUGACUAA
Macadamia integrifolia is the source of this 717-nucleotide long non-coding RNA. RefSeq lists it as uncharacterized. NCBI's taxonomy places the organism in Eukaryota, Viridiplantae, Streptophyta, Magnoliopsida, Proteales, Proteaceae. The record is from RefSeq and is a predicted model, not a curated record. The transcript is spliced from 3 exons.